Molecule: ribosomal RNA, 513 nt
Filed under: uncultured Cenococcum
Lineage: Eukaryota; Fungi; Ascomycota; Dothideomycetes; Gloniales; Gloniaceae
Description: eukaryotic LSU rRNA
Rfam family: 5.8S ribosomal RNA (bases 153-306)
Source: RNAcentral
CUUGGUCAUUUAGAGGAAGUAAACGCGGAUCAAACCGCGAACUUCUAAACCUUUGACGAUUGACUCAUGUUGCCUCGGCGGGUUCUCCCGCCAGAGGAUACAUUAAAACUCCUGUUUUAACGGUGUUGUCUGAGCUACAAGCAACGAAUCAAAACUUUCAACAACGGAUCUCUUGGUUCUGGCAUCGAUGAAGAACGCAGCGAAAUGCGAUAAGUAGUGUGAAUUGCAGAAUUCAGUGAAUCAUCGAAUCUUUGAACGCACAUUGCGCCCCUUGGUAUCCCGAGGGGCAUGCCUGUUCGAGCGUCAUUUCACCACUCAAGCCUGGCUUGGUGUUGGGCGACGUCCCCUUUAGGGACGCGCCUCGAAACGCUCGGCGGCGUGGCACCGGCUUUAAGCGUAGCAGAAUCUUUCGCUUUGAAAGUCGGGGCCCCGUCUGCCGGAAGACCUACUCGCAAGGUUGACCUCGGAUCAGGCAGGGAUACCCGCUGAACUUAAGCAUAUCAAUAAGCGGAG